CCAUGCGAGUCAUUGUAGUAAUACAAGGCAGACGGCUCAGUAACGCGUAGUCAAUCUACCCUAUAGACGGGGAUAACCUCGGGAAACUGAGAAUAAUACCCGAUAGAACAUUAUGCCUGGAAUGGUUUAUGUUUUAAAUGAUUUAUCGCUGUAGGAUGGGACUGCGGCCUAUCAGUUUGUUGGUGAGGUAAUGGCCCACCAAGACUAUUACAGGUACGGGCUCUGAGAGGAGUGGCCCGGAGAUGGGUACUGAGACACGGACCCAGGCCCUAUGGGGCGCAGCAGGCGAGAAAACUUUGCAAUGUGCGAAAGCACGACAAGGUUAAUCCGAGUGGUUUCUGCUUAAGAGACCUUUUGUUAGUUCUAGAAAUACUGACGAAUAAGGGGUGGGCAAGUUCUGGUGUCAGCCGCCGCGGUAAAACCAGCACCUCAAGUGGUCAGGAUGAUUAUUGGGCCUAAAGCAUCCGUAGCUUGCUAUGUAAGUUAUCGGUUAAAUCCAUACGCUUAACGUAUGGGCUGCCGGUAAUACUGCAUAGCUAGGGAGUGGGAGAGGUAGACGGUACUCGGUAGGAAGGGGUAAAAUCCUUUGAUCUAUUGAUGACCACCAGUGGCGAAGGCGGUCUACCAGAACACGUCCGACGGUGAGGGAUGAAAGCUGGGGGAGCAAACCGGAUUAGAUACCCGGGUAGUCCCAGCUGUAAACUAUGCAAACUCAGUGAUGCAUUGGCUUGUGGCCAAUGCAGUGCUGCAGGGAAGCCGUUAAGUUUGCCGCCUGGGAAGUACGUACGCAAGUAUGAAACUUAA
This 804-nucleotide ribosomal RNA is filed under the name uncultured crenarchaeote. RNAcentral's name for it is "bacterial SSU rRNA". It matches the Rfam family "Archaeal small subunit ribosomal RNA", at positions 49 to 859 of the family's 1478-position model. The record is from RNAcentral. Lineage: Archaea; Thermoproteati; Thermoproteota.